CCUCUGGGUCCCAUCCAGGAUUAGUGGCAGUGGAUCUGGGACAAAUUAUUCUCUCACCAUCAGCAGCAUGGAGGCUGAAGAUGC
Dipodomys spectabilis (banner-tailed kangaroo rat) is the source of this 84-nucleotide long non-coding RNA. RefSeq lists it as uncharacterized. Lineage: Eukaryota; Metazoa; Chordata; Mammalia; Rodentia; Heteromyidae. The record is from RefSeq and is a predicted model, not a curated record. The transcript has 3 exons.